UAGAGAAGAUGGAGUUCGGCUGAA
RNAcentral lists this unclassified non-coding RNA (24 nucleotides) under Mus musculus (house mouse). Its description in RNAcentral is "oocyte_clustered_small_RNA13718". Lineage: Eukaryota; Metazoa; Chordata; Mammalia; Rodentia; Muridae. The record is from RNAcentral.